CAUCUAUCAAUAUAUCUCUCAGAGAACUCAUAUAUGACAUUAUAUACCUUCCAGGCUUACAUGAUUGUGGGAUCAUCAUGUUCGAUCCAAGUGAUGAUUUCUUAAACCUCAGAAUCUCACUUUAAUAGUUAUCAAGAUGACAUAUUUAUUAUAUGUACACUUUCAUACUCUCUCAAUUAUAUUUUUGAUUUUAAUAAGUGCAC
Molecule: long non-coding RNA, 203 nt
Filed under: Elaeis guineensis (African oil palm)
Lineage: Eukaryota; Viridiplantae; Streptophyta; Magnoliopsida; Arecales; Arecaceae
Description: long non-coding RNA (EGUI_LNC029282)
Source: RNAcentral